CUAUACAUGCAGUCGAGCGGACAGAAGGGAGCUUGCUCCCGGAUGUUAGCGGCGGACGGGUGAGUAACACGUGGGUAACCUGCCUGUAAGACUGGGAUAACUCCGGGAAACCGGAGCUAAUACCGGAUAGUUCCUUGAACCGCAUGGUUCAAGGAUGAAAGACGGUUUCGGCUGUCACUUACAGAUGGACCCGCGGCGCAUUAGCUAGUUGGUGAGGUAACGGCUCACCAAGGCGACGAUGCGUAGCCGACCUGAGAGGGUGAUCGGCCACACUGGGACUGAGACACGGCCCAGACUCCUACGGGAGGCAGCAGUAGGGAAUCUUCCGCAAUGGACGAAAGUCUGACGGAGCAACGCCGCGUGAGUGAUGAAGGUUUUCGGAUCGUAAAGCUCUGUUGUUAGGGAAGAACAAGUGCAAGAGUAACUGCUUGCACCUUGACGGUACCUAACCAGAAAGCCACGGCUAACUACGUGCCAGCAGCCGCGGUAAUACGUAGGUGGCAAGCGUUGUCCGGAAUUAUUGGGCGUAAAGGGCUCGCAGGCGGUUUCUUAAGUCUGAUGUGAAAGCCCCCGGCUCAACCGGGGAGGGUCAUUGGAAACUGGGAAACUUGAGUGCAGAAGAGGAGAGUGGAAUUCCACGUGUAGCGGUGAAAUGCGUAGAGAUGUGGAGGAACACCAGUGGCGAAGGCGACUCUCUGGUCUGUAACUGACGCUGAGGAGCGAAAGCGUGGGGAGCGAACAGGAUUAGUAUUUUUGUUUUCAAAA
Molecule: ribosomal RNA, 765 nt
Filed under: Bacillus pumilus
Lineage: Bacteria; Bacillati; Bacillota; Bacilli; Caryophanales; Bacillaceae
Description: bacterial SSU rRNA
Rfam family: Bacterial small subunit ribosomal RNA
Source: RNAcentral